This 460-nucleotide ribosomal RNA is filed under the name uncultured bacterium. RNAcentral's name for it is "partial 16S ribosomal RNA". It matches the Rfam family "Bacterial small subunit ribosomal RNA", at positions 338 to 795 of the family's 1533-position model. The record is from RNAcentral.
CCUACGGGUGGCAGCAGUGAGGAAUAUUGGUCAAUGGACGAGAGUCUGAACCAGCCAAGUAGCGUGAAGGAUGACUGCCCUAUGGGUUGUAAACUUCUUUUAUAAAGGAAUAAAACGAGCCACGUGUUCCUUUCUGCAUGUACUUUCUGAAUAAGGACGGGUUAACUCCGUCCCGGCACCCGCGGUAAUACGGAGGAGCCGAGCGUUAUCCGGUUUUAUUGGGUUUAAAGGGAGCGUAGAUGGGUGGUUAAGUCGGUUGUGAAAGUUUGCGGUCCAACCGUAAAAUUGCAAUUGAUACUGGCAGUCUGGAGUGCAGUUGAGGUAGGCGGAAUUCGUGGUGUAGCGGUGAAAUGCUUAGAUAUCACGAAGAACCCCGAUUGCGAAGGCAGCUUACUAAACUGUGACUGACAUUGAUGCUCGAAAGUGUGGGUAUCAAACAGGAUUAGAUACCCUGGUAGUC